RNAcentral lists this long non-coding RNA (529 nucleotides) under Fukomys damarensis (Damara mole-rat). Its description in RNAcentral is "lncRNA (ENSFDAG00000025354.1)". The record is from RNAcentral. Lineage: Eukaryota; Metazoa; Chordata; Mammalia; Rodentia; Bathyergidae.
CCCUGUUAAUUUCUUCUUGUGUGCAUUAUCUGUUCACACAUUUGCAGGAAGGACAAUGCUUGGGUCGAGGAUCAGCCACCAUUCAGCUCAGGACUCAGAGGCUCUGGGGUGACCUGUGGCUGGCCAGAGUCUCCUCUGUGCUACUCAAAGUGGGAACCCAGACUUCGGGAAGCUCAAGAGUGAGACAGGGUAAAAAGACUUGUGGAGAGAGAUGCAAGAAUAACCAGCCUACCCUAAAUGGUGGUACUUGGAGCUGUUUAAGGAUUGCCCCCCAAGUACGGUGAGAGGAGAUGGUAUGCAAACAAGAAUUUAGAAAACUAUGACUAAUGUAGUCUGGCGGGAAUCAACAGUAGGGAGGGGAUCCAGUAGAAAUUUGCAAAAAGUUGCAAACUAUUUCUCUAACUUAAUCUUUCACAAUUAAUAAUUAAAAUCAUUUUACUGUGUAUUCUCCCUUAAGUUAAAUUCAAUCAGUCUUUCAUUAGGAAAUAUAUACAUAACACCUACAGAGGAAUACUUUGUUAUAAUUCAC